Cavia porcellus (domestic guinea pig) is the source of this 543-nucleotide long non-coding RNA. RefSeq lists it as uncharacterized. The record is from RefSeq and is a predicted model, not a curated record. The transcript is spliced from 2 exons. NCBI's taxonomy places the organism in Eukaryota, Metazoa, Chordata, Mammalia, Rodentia, Caviidae.
GCUGGGCCUCAGAGGCCGGGGCUGCUCGGGGGCACCUCGGCAGGGCGCGGGCGGUGACCGGGGCGUGCAGUACGGAGCCCGCCGGCAGGUGGCGCUGCAGCCCUCCCGAGCCGCCGACCCCAACCCGAGACUGCUGCGCUAGCUCUGCAAACGCGUCGCUGAUUGUCUCCCGCAGGAAGUGCGCGUAAAUUCUUCACUUUUUUUUCCUCUAAAGAUUUUCGUUGCAUUCAAAAUAGGUCUCUGCAUAUGCAUGAAGCGAUUCUCAGUAUCUUCAAAGAGAAGCCUGAGCCCAGCAGGUCCCAGGCGAAGCCUGGCCCAGAGAGCCCAGGGGUAAUGCAUGAAGGAAGUCAGUGAAUGCCUCAGGACGGGCAAAGAUCCAGAUCCUCCAAAUCAGCCCAAAUCAAAUAUUUCUGAGCUCUCUGCAAGCCCAGGGGUCACCAGCUUGCAAAUCAUGCUACAAUGUCUGUGGAAACGAGUCUCGGUUGGCUGCUUGCAGCAAUCUUGGUAGAUGCAAAUCAUAAUAAAUAAGUUUAUAAACGUGAA